This is a long non-coding RNA of Diceros bicornis minor, 4499 nucleotides long. RefSeq lists it as uncharacterized. The record is from RefSeq and is a predicted model, not a curated record. The transcript has 2 exons. Lineage: Eukaryota; Metazoa; Chordata; Mammalia; Perissodactyla; Rhinocerotidae.
GGCUGCUUCAAGCUCACCUCUCGCGAGGAGUUCGUCCUACUGUCUCUGAUUAGCCCUGAGGUCAGAGGUAUCCCAGGGCUCUGCGAGGAGCCCGGGUGCAGAGUUUUAGCAAUGAAAGAAGCCACACACACCCGCCCCAAACCGAAUCUUCCGGGGACCCUCAGUGGGCCGCGGGCAGCAGCUGCCGGGCUGAGGCUCCCGAAGUCCGCUGGUUGCCUGGUGAUCUCCCGGUGCUGUGCUCGAGAUCGCGAACUGCGGCAGCGAUGUUCACAUCGGAGGGAGGCUUUGUCUCCGGGUUGCGCGCCCCUCUCCUCUGUGUAGAGCAGAGCCUGGAGACCUGGAAAGUGGCCUCUUAACGCGUUUUCUGCCUCUCCCCACAAUCCUCCCACCCCGUUAAAUGUUGAUGUUUCCCCAGGGUUCCAUCCUCUGCCCACUUCUCACCCUAAACACCCUGCUGCUUGAACUCCAAAUGCCUUGAUUUCCUAAAUCUUGUAUUUCUUAUGUAAAUCUGUUCUGCCUUCGGUAUUAUCACCUGUGAAUUACUAUUCAGUUGCUUAACCGAAACCUUGGAGUCAUGUUAGAUUUCUUUCACACCCUCCACAUCCUUUUGAUGACCAGCUUGAUUUUAUAGAAUAAAUACUUAAAUUCAUCCCUUUUCAUCUCUCCUGUCACUGUUCUUGAUCAGGCUCUCAUGGUCUCUUACUCUUGCAGCAGCCUGUAACUGUCUCCUGGUUUGCUUCUCUCCAAUCUAUGCUCCACAGAAACGGACCCUCCCUUGCUCACAUCCUUCAGAAGCUACCCUCUCUACUGGAUAAAAUCCAAACUUCUUAUGGUGAGCCAUAAAGCCCUUUAGGAUCAGGUACCUCUGCUUAUUCACUGUCAUCUCCCUCCACUUGUCUUGAACUUUUUUCCAGCUUUAUAUUUUACACAGAGGGCAGAAUUUCUCCUGGCUUCCUUAAAUAGGCUAUUUCCCUUGGCCUGAAAUGCCUUUCCCAGACCUUUCCACCCUUAAGAUGUGGCCUAAGUGUUAUCUUUUCUAAAAUGCUUUCCUUACCCUCACUUCCUAGGCUCCCCAACUUAGGCACCUCUCUUGUUCCAAUGAAAACUUGCACUUACCUCUGUCUACAAUUAUGGACCAUAUUGUAAUGUCUGUGUACUUGUCUGUCUUCCUCAUCAGAACUGAGAUCCUGCUGAGGAUAAGGACUGUGUCUUACUUAGCAUUGUAACCCCGCCAGCUCGCAGUGUCUGACAUAAAUUAAGUAUCCAGAAAAUGGUUAAAUCAACCAGUCCUAGAAGCCAUGUGUCUAAAAUGGUUUCAGAGCCUUAUCCCUGUACCAGAAUACUCAAGUAAUAGUUCAUUAGCAUUUCCAGGCAUUGAGACAGGCGGCAGUUUCCUCUGGCUUGCUGUGCAAUAGAUAUCAGAAGGUGAUACUGUUGGUGAACUGAAAAAGCAUAUUUUCACUUAAGAGUUCACUGAAAUCCUUUCUUUGUCAAUUGAUUGAACAGAUAUUGACUGAACACUUGCUGUGUUCUAUGCACAGUAAUACAUUAGUGAGCAAGACAAAGAUUUCUGCCCUCAUGGAGCUAAUAUUCAAAUGAGGGUUGGAGGAGGCAGACCGAGAACCUGUGUGACCACAUGUUAUAAGGUGAAAAGUGCCACAUGGGGUGAGGGGGUUGCAAUUUUAAAUACAACGGACAGUGUAAAGAACAGGCCCAGUGGAACCAUUGCCUCCAUGACAGCCAACCAAGACUUCAUGCAGUUUCAGCCUCUCAGGAAUGUGACCUUUAACCAGUGAAUAUGGAAUUAGUGAGGUCAUCUGCACGUUAGACCCCAGCCCUUCCCCCAGAGGAAGGUGACCUUGCCUGAAACAAUCCACUCUAUUAGAAACUUCCUCUUUCCUCCCCCUGCAUGUAAAAGCCUGCCAGUUUGUACAGCUCCUGGAGCUCCUUUCUAUUUGCUAGAUGGGAUGCUGCCUGAUUCGGGAAUCAUGAAGAAAGCCAAUUUGAUCUUUAAUUUACUCAGUUGAAUUUUGUGAUUUAACAACAGGCUAGGCCUAAUAGAGAAAGUGACUACUGAGCAAAGAUUUGGAGUUGGUGAGUUAGUUCUGAGGAUAUCUGGGGGAGAACCUUGCAGGCAGAGGGAAUGGCUGAGGCAGAACUCCUGAGGCUCAGUGUCCCUGGCCUGUUCAAAGAACAGCAAAGAGGCAGUGUGGCUGGAGCAGAGUGAGCUCGAGGGGACAAAUAUGAGAUAAGGUCAGAGGAAACGGGACAAGGUCACGUAGGGCCUUGUAGGCUAGCGUAAGGAUUUUGACUUGUACUAAGUGAAAUGGAGAGCAGGCUCUUAAGCAGAGAAGUGAGACAGUCUUUUAAAAUGAUCACUGCUGUUGAGUAUAGAUAGGAGGGCAGCUUAGAGGCAGGGAGACUGGUAGGAAGGCUUCUGUGGUAACGUAGGUGAGAGAUUGUUACCGAACCAAAAGUGGGUUGGCCUCCUGGCGAAUUACAGUCAGACUCUCAACCAAAAGUAGUUGUCACACAAAGUAGGACUUCUUUGCAGCAAAUAGGAGGCCACGCGGAAUCAUUUCCAAAGUCGUGGCUGUCCCCUAACAAAGGGAAGCCGGGGCCUUUUAUGUCGGAUGGGAAAUGAAUAUUCAAAAGGGAGAGGUGGGCAUUCGCUUGCGCAGGCUCAGUUGGAAAAGGUGCUUCCACAUACACUGCAGGUUAUGGUAAUAAGGCCUAAGCUCCUGCUGGAGAGGAGAUCUUAGCAUUAAAAAUGAGGCAAAGGUCAUAGGCCUGCUGUUGUGGGGCUCAGUCUGGUUCAGAGUGCUGGUGAUUGCAUCUCUUAAACAGUUAAAUGCUUCCAAACCCACCCUGGAGUUCCUAGGGGCAAUUAGUCAGUGACAAGAUGAUGGCGGCUUAUACCUGGGAGGUAACAGUGAAGGAGUAAGAAGUGACUUUUCCUCAUCUCCUCUCCCUUCCUUUUUUUCCUUUCGUUUUUUUAUUAACCUUUAUUUAUUGACCACCUAUUAUAGUGGCAGGCGUCAUGCCAGGACUAAAAUAGUCCCUAUCUUUCUUCAUAGAGCUUAUAUUCUAGUGAUGGGAAGACAGACAACAAAAAUAUAAAUAAAAUAACAUUGUGUUAAGAUGCCAAGAAUACAUUAGCGUGCUGUAAGGGUGAAUACAGGGUGGAGGAGAGGGUCACAACCUGCUUCAGCUCAGGCAGUUAGACAGUCUGUCUGAGGAGGGAACAUUUAACCUGAGAACCAAAGAAGGAAAAACUAGUAAUGUGAAGAAUGAAGGUGGGGAGGCUGGGGAGAGCAUUCCUGGCACAGGCAGUAAAGAUGUGAUAUUUUCUAGGAACUGAAUGGAGGCUGUGGUGGUAGAGCCCAAUGAGCCAGGGGCAGAAGGGCAUGAAGUGAGGGUGAAGGAGGGAAGUUGUUGGUUUGGGUUUUAAGUGCAGCGGGAAGCCACUGACCAUUUUAGGCAGGGCAGCAACAUGAUCUAAUAAUAAACAUUCGUAAAAGGUGAUUCUGGCUAUUAUAUUAUCUUAGAGGGGCAACCGUGCAAAUGAGCAGACCAAUUAAGAAGCUGUUGCAGGCACACAGGAGAUGUUGGUAGCUUGGACUAAGGUGGUGGCAGCAGAUAUAUAUGUGGGAGGUAGAAACACCAGGGCUUGCUGAUAGAUGGAUAUGAGAAUGGGAAAGAGAGCCAUCAAGAUAUCAAGGGUGACUUGAGCUUGAGUAUUUAGAUGGAUGGAUGGUGGUGCCUUUUACUGAGAUGUAGAUGGCCUUUAAAAAAGAAGGGAGUUGGGGCUGGCCUGGUGGCACAGCCGUUAAGUUUGUGCACUCUGCUUCAGCAGCGUGGGAUUCAUGGGUUCGGAUCCUGGGCACAGACCUUCACACCACUUAUCAAGCCAUGCUCUGGUGGCAUCCCACAUAUAAAGUAGAGGAAGAUGGGCACGGAUGUUAGCCCAGGGCCAACCUUCCUCAGCAAAAAGAGGAGGAUUGGCAACAGAUGUUAGUUCAGGGCUAAUCUUCCUCACCAAAAAAAAAGCAGGGAGUGGGGGGAGCUACAUCUCCAACAAAAAGAGGACUUGGAACCGGGGGAGGAUUUAAGAAGCUGGGUCAUCUACUGUGGGGUUGUAGGACUGGGGAAUGUCAGACGAGAGAGAAAGUAUAAACUAGUUCUCAGAGCUUGGGAAUGAAGCUACUAGAGAAGCAUGCGAAGAUCACCAGCCAGUGCACAGGGCCCUGUUGAGGACUGUGAUCGCUAACUUAGAAUGAGACCAAUCCAUUUAGUUAUCUGGUUGGAUUUCCCUCAGCCAAGUUCACUUCUUCACUCCCCUUUCUUCUGCUUUCUCUCUUCUAGCUAUCCAUAAUUUUGAAAUGAAAUAUACAUUUUUAUUAUUUGUUGAAUAUAAUCUUAAUGUUUCCUUACUUCAAAAUGGUAAAUUUAUUGGUAAAGUGAAUUGCAUACAAUUAAAAAAUAUAUAUUAAACUGAA